RNAcentral lists this ribosomal RNA (1279 nucleotides) under uncultured bacterium. RNAcentral describes it as "bacterial SSU rRNA". It matches the Rfam family "Bacterial small subunit ribosomal RNA", at positions 101 to 1389 of the family's 1533-position model. The record is from RNAcentral.
AACGGGUGAGUAACACGUGGGCAACCUGCCCCAGGCUCUGGAAUAACCUCGGGAAACUGAGAUUAAUGCCGGAUACUCUCGUCGGGUCACAUGGCCUGGCGAGGAAAGAAUUUCGGCCUGGGAUGGGCCCGCGGCCUAUCAGCUUGUUGGCGGGGUAACGGCCCACCAAGGCGACGACGGGUAGCUGGCGUGAGAGCGUGGCCAGCCACACUGGGACUGAGACACGGCCCAGACUCCUGCGGGAGGCAGCAGUGGGGAAUCUUGCGCAAUGGGCGAAAGCCUGACGCAGCGACGCCGCGUGGGGGAUGAAGGCCCUCGGGUUGUAAACCCCUUUCGGCAGGGAAGAAGCCGCAAGGUGACGGUACCUGCAGAAGAAGCCCCGGCUAACUACGUGCCAGCAGCCGCGGUAAGACGUAGGGGGCGAGCGUUGUCCGGAUUUAUUGGGCGUAAAGCGCGCGUAGGCGGUUCGUUAAGUCGGGUGUGAAAACCCGGGGCUCAACCCCGGGCCUGCAUCCGAUACUGGCGGACUCGAGGCAGACAGGGGAGAGUGGAAUUCCCGGUGUAGCGGUGAAAUGCGCAGAUAUCGGGAGGAACACCGGUGGCGAAGGCGGCUCUCUGGGUCUGUCCUGACGCUCAGGCGCGAAAGCUAGGGGAGCAAACAGGAUUAGAUACCCUGGUAGUCCUAGCCGUAAACGUUGGGUGCUAGGUGUGGGGCGGCGUUCGACCCGCUCCGUGCCGAAGCUAACGCAUUAAGCACGCCGCCUGGGGAGUACGGCCGCAAGGCUAAAACGUCAAAGGAAUUGACGGGGGCCCGCACAAGCCGGCGGAGCAUGUGGCUUAAUUCGACGCGACGCGAAGAACCUUACCAGGGCUUGACAUGCGGGGUGAAGCCGUGGAAACACGGUCCUCCUACGGGAGCCCGCACAGGUGCUGCAUGGCUGUCGUCAGCUCGUGCCGUGAGGUGUUGCCUUAAGUGGCGCAACGAGCGCAACCCCUGUCCAUAGUUGCCAGCGGGUAAUGCCGGGGACUCUAUGGAGACUGCCGGUGCCAAACCGGAGGAAGGUGGGGAUGACGUCAAGUCAUCAUGGCCCUUAUGUCCUGGGCUGCACACAUGCUACAAUGCGUGGUACAACGGGCUGCGAUCCCGUAAGGGUGAGCGAAUCCCAAGAAGCCGCGCUCAGUUCGGAUCGGGGUCUGCAACUCGACCUCGUGAAGUCGGAGUCGCUAGUAAUCGCGGAUCAGCAACGCCGCGGUGAUACGUUCCCGGGCAUUGCACACA